This 300-nucleotide ribosomal RNA is filed under the name uncultured bacterium. Its description in RNAcentral is "bacterial SSU rRNA". It matches the Rfam family "Bacterial small subunit ribosomal RNA", at positions 1080 to 1382 of the family's 1533-position model. The record is from RNAcentral.
UUAAGUCCCGCAACGAGCGCAACCCUCACUUUUAGUUGCCAUCAUUAAGUUGGGCACUCUGAAAGAACUGCCAGUGAUAAGCUGGAGGAAGGUGGGGAUGACGUCAAGUCCUCAUGGCCCUUACGUGUUGGGCUACACACGUGCUACAAUGGUAUCUACAACAGGAAGCAAGACUGCGAGGUCAAGCAAAUCCUUAAAAGAUACCUCAGUUCGGAUUGCACUCUGCAACUCGAGUGCAUGAAGCUGGAAUUACUAGUAAUCGUGGAUCAGCGUGCCACGGUGAAUGCGUUCCCGGGUCUU